Small nucleolar RNA from Tachyglossus aculeatus (Australian echidna), 138 nucleotides. NCBI's taxonomy places the organism in Eukaryota, Metazoa, Chordata, Mammalia, Monotremata, Tachyglossidae. The record is from RefSeq and is a predicted model, not a curated record.
CCCCUCUCAGGAUCGCAACUGGAGAGUUUUCAGUACUCUACCAGUCUUGGCUAUGGGAGGAAGAGUCAAGCAGAGGCAUACCUAUUCCAUUUCUAGCUCGGGAAGUGGCUAGAGAUCGCAAGGCAAUCUGCUACAUGU